This is a non-coding RNA of Rattus norvegicus (Norway rat), 63 nucleotides long. The record is from Rfam. Lineage: Eukaryota; Metazoa; Chordata; Mammalia; Rodentia; Muridae.
GGGGAUUUAGCUCAGUGGUAGAGCGCUUGCCUAGCAAGUGCGAGGCCCUGGGUUCAGUCCCCA